UCGUGUCGUGAGAUGUUGGGUUAAGUCCCGCAACGAGCGCAACCCUUGUUCUGUGUUGCCAGCAUGCCCUUCGGGGUGAUGGGGACUCACAGGAGACUGCCGGGGUCAACUCGGAGGAAGGUGGGGACGACGUCAAGUCAUCAUGCCCCUUAUGUCUUGGGCUGCACACGUGCUACAAUGGCCGGUACAAUGAGCUGCGAUGCCGUGAGGCGGAGCGAAUCUCAAAAAGCCGGUCUCAGUUCGGAUUGGGGUCUGCAACUCGACCCCAUGAAGUCGGAGUUGCUAGUAAUCGCAGAUCAGCAUUGCUGCGGUGAAUACGUUCCCGGGCCUUGUACACACCGCCCGUCACGUCACGAAAGUCGGUAACACCCGAAGCCGGUGGCCCAACCCCUUACGGGGAGGGAGCUGUCGAAGGUGGGACUGGCGAUUGGGACGAAGUCGUAACAAGGUAGCCGUACCGGAAGGUGCGGCUGGAUCACCUCCUUUCU
Molecule: ribosomal RNA, 488 nt
Filed under: Streptomyces turgidiscabies
Lineage: Bacteria; Bacillati; Actinomycetota; Actinomycetes; Kitasatosporales; Streptomycetaceae
Description: bacterial SSU rRNA
Rfam family: Bacterial small subunit ribosomal RNA
Source: RNAcentral